AAGAGACAGCAGCCGCCACGGGAAUACAGAGGGUGCGAGCGUUAAUCGGAUUUACUGGGCGUAAAGCGUGCGUAGGCGGCUUCUUAAGUCGGAUGUGAAAUCCCUGAGCUUAACUUAGGAAUUGCAUUCGAUACUGGGAAGCUAGAGUAUGGGAGAGGAUGGUAGAAUUCCAGGUGUAGCGGUGAAAUGCGUAGAGAUCUGGAGGAAUACCGAUGGCGAAGGCAGCCAUCUGGCCUAAUACUGACGCUGAGGUACGAAAGCAUGGGGAGCAAACAGGAUUAGAGACCCCGGUAGUCCCUGUCUCUUAUAC
Molecule: ribosomal RNA, 310 nt
Filed under: uncultured bacterium
Lineage: Bacteria
Description: partial 16S ribosomal RNA
Rfam family: Bacterial small subunit ribosomal RNA
Source: RNAcentral